RNAcentral lists this ribosomal RNA (1372 nucleotides) under uncultured bacterium. RNAcentral's name for it is "bacterial SSU rRNA". It matches the Rfam family "Bacterial small subunit ribosomal RNA", at positions 28 to 1381 of the family's 1533-position model. The record is from RNAcentral.
GAUGAACGCUGGCGGCGUGCCUAAUACAUGCACGUCGAGCGAACGGACGAGAAGCUUGCUUCUCUGAUGUUAGCGGCGGACGGGUGAGUAACACGUGGAUAACCUACCUAUAAGACUGGGAUAACUUCGGGAAACCGGAGCUAAUACCGGAUAAUAUUUUGAACCGCAUGGUUCAAAAGUGAAAGACGGUCUUGCUGUCACUUAUAGAUGGAUCCGCGCUGCAUUAGCUAGUUGGUAAGGUAACGGCUUACCAAGGCAACGAUGCAUAGCCGACCUGAGAGGGUGAUCGGCCACACUGGAACUGAGACACGGUCCAGACUCCUACGGGAGGCAGCAGUAGGGAAUCUUCCGCAAUGGGCGAAAGCCUGACGGAGCAACGCCGCGUGAGUGAUGAAGGUCUUCGGAUCGUAAAACUCUGUUAUUAGGGAAGAACAUAUGUGUAAGUAACUGUGCACAUCUUGACGGUACCUAAUCAGAAAGCCACGGCUAACUACGUGCCAGCAGCCGCGGUAAUACGUAGGUGGCAAGCGUUAUCCGGAAUUAUUGGGCGUAAAGCGCGCGUAGGCGGUUUUUUAAGUCUGAUGUGAAAGCCCACGGCUCAACCGUGGAGGGUCAUUGGAAACUGGAAAACUUGAGUGCAGAAGAGGAAAGUGGAAUUCCAUGUGUAGCGGUGAAAUGCGCAGAGAUAUGGAGGAACACCAGUGGCGAAGGCGACUUUCUGGUCUGUAACUGACGCUGAUGUGCGAAAGCGUGGGGAUCAAACAGGAUUAGAUACCCUGGUAGUCCACGCCGUAAACGAUGAGUGCUAAGUGUUAGGGGGUUUCCGCCCCUUAGUGCUGCAGCUAACGCAUUAAGCACUCCGCCUGGGGAGUACGACCGCAAGGUUGAAACUCAAAGGAAUUGACGGGGACCCGCACAAGCGGUGGAGCAUGUGGUUUAAUUCGAAGCAACGCGAAGAACCUUACCAAAUCUUGACAUCCUUUGACAACUCUAGAGAUAGAGCUUUCCCCUUCGGGGGACAAAGUGACAGGUGGUGCAUGGUUGUCGUCAGCUCGUGCCGUGAGAUGUUGGGUUAAGUCCCGCAACGAGCGCAACCCUUAAGCUUAGUUGCCAUCAUUAAGUUGGGCACUCUAAGUUGACUGCCGGUGACAAACCGGAGGAAGGUGGGGAUGACGUCAAAUCAUCAUGCCCCUUAUGAUUUGGGCUACACACGUGCUACAAUGGACAAUACAAAGGGCAGCGAAACCGCGAGGUCAAGCAAAUCCCAUAAAGUUGUUCUCAGUUCGGAUUGUAGUCUGCAACUCGACUACAUGAAGCUGGAAUCGCUAGUAAUCGUAGAUCAGCAUGCUACGGUGAAUACGUUCCCGGGUCU